Molecule: long non-coding RNA, 1272 nt
Filed under: Scleropages formosus (Asian bonytongue)
Lineage: Eukaryota; Metazoa; Chordata; Actinopteri; Osteoglossiformes; Osteoglossidae
Description: lncRNA (ENSSFOG00015028560.1)
Source: RNAcentral
CUAUAAGAUGGCUGCCUUUAACUACAAUGAAAAGAAAAGGUGAGUGCAAAAAAUAGCCUAAACUUAACAAGUGGGAGGGAAAGGCAGAGGGAGUGAGUCCCCAACAGUGUAUAAGAAAACCUUAAUUUGCCCCCAUGUAUUUGUGCAUAAGUUCACUAGAUACUGCUGCUGUUAUCUUUUGGUCUCAAGAACACCUCUCACACCACUCAGAUUUAGUGUCACUGCAAAUUUGUGUCUUUCUUCUAUUGACAGUAGGCUGUGGCAGUAAUGCUUAAGGAGCAUAAUUAAGACCAUAUUCUUUUGGGUGGGUCAGUUAAUUGGGUUCUUUCUCUUUUGUUGUACAGUAGUUCAAAGACAGAUCUGUGGUUACCCAGGUGCCUACGUGGUUGCAGGUGGAAUCAGGCAAAAAAGGCUCUCUUAAAAGAGGAAAAGAGUGUGAUGGACCCCCCAAAAAGCUGUUUGUCGCUGGAGUAACCAACCCCCCCCCCCCCCCCCCACAUCAUAGGGUAUGGUGUUAGGUGAGGCGUUCUUUCAAACUUAGGGACAUAUACACAGUGAUGUGUAAAUACAUACACUGACCCAUGUCUGGUCACUCACCUAAGACUAUUUCAACAUAGGUCAAAGCACCUUAGUUAAAAAGAACCUUCUGCCAUACUUUUCCUGGCAUCUGGAAAGUCAGUACUGCUUAAUUUACAGGUCCAGUAUUUUCAGCAACAUUGCAAGAAUCAUCUAACAAAGGUUUUGACAUUUCAUUACACCAGGCCAUGGUUUAUUUGGGCAGACAAGAAUGUAAAGCUCUGUGUUCCAGUCUGCGUGCCCUUGUCCAAGGGAAGCAUCCAUGUCUUCUGGCCUCCUGGCACUUUCUCCCCCAGCGUCAUCCACUUCCCACCAUUCCAGCAUUUAAAAUCACACCUGUCAGCCACUUGCAACCUAAAAUAAGGUGGAGAACACAAAUGGGCACAUAUGUACAUACACAUUUACAUAUACCUGUCUGAAAUUGGAUCAGAAAACCAUAGUAUCAACUGAAAUGUAAAUUGAGCUCCACUGCUAAUAACAGUGGCUCAAGACUGAUGUGUUAUUUAGACAAGAAAGCAUCAGCAAGUGAUAGAAGAAUGAUGUGUUUAUAAUUGCAGAAACCAGUAUUUCAUAUUUUUGAUGGUAUUGUGCUUUGUGUGGAAUGUACUUCCACAAUGAUCCAGGUACAGUACUGGUAAGUGACUGCACAAUAUAAAAUUCAAACAUAGAUAAUAAAAUGUAACACUUAUGUAUGCA